Molecule: unclassified non-coding RNA, 213 nt
Filed under: uncultured Hydnodontaceae
Lineage: Eukaryota; Fungi; Basidiomycota; Agaricomycetes; Trechisporales; Hydnodontaceae
Description: sequence contains ITS2
Source: RNAcentral
AGUCAUCAACCCCGAUCGUUUCGCGACGGCCGGCGGUUGGAGCUGGGGGACUUUGCCGCCGUUUUGGCGGCUCCCCUCAAAUGCGUCGGUUGGGCCUGUGGGUCGAACUCGACUGGGCGUUGUACCAUCCUCGCUCUAACGAGACGGACCCCUCCCGUGCCCCGCCCCGACCUCGCCUCUCUUUGGGUGGCGGUCAAAUCAAGCCUUUGAAAU